RNAcentral lists this ribosomal RNA (493 nucleotides) under uncultured bacterium. RNAcentral's name for it is "bacterial SSU rRNA". It matches the Rfam family "Bacterial small subunit ribosomal RNA", at positions 28 to 507 of the family's 1533-position model. The record is from RNAcentral.
GAUGAACGCUAGCUACAGGCUUAACACAUGCAAGUCGAGGGGAAACGACAUCGAAAGCUUGCUUUUGAUGGGCGUCGACCGGCGCACGGGUGAGUAACGCGUAUCCAACCUGCCCGCCACUUGGGGAUAACCUUGCGAAAGUAAGACUAAUACCCAAUGAUAUCCCACGAAGGCAUCCGAAUGGGAUUAAAGAUUUAUCGGUGAUGGAUGGGGAUGCGUCUGAUUAGCUUGUUGGCGGGGUAACGGCCCACCAAGGCAACGAUCAGUAGGGGUUCUGAGAGGAAGGUCCCCCCACAUUGGAACUGAGACACGGUCCAAACUCCUACGGGAGGCAGCAGUGAGGAAUAUUGGUCAAUGGGCGAGAGCCUGAACCAGCCAAGUAGCGUGCAGGACGACGGCCCUAUGGGUUGUAAACUGCUUUUAUAAGGGAAUAAAGUGAGUCUCGUGAGACUUUUUGCAUGUACCUUAUGAAUAAGGACCGGCUAAUUCCGUG